UGGGGAGAGGGAGAAGGGGAGAGGGUGAUGGGGAGAAGGUGAUAGUGAGAGGGCACUGGAGAGAGGGAGGAAGGAUGCUUCCUGGCAUUUCCUGAGGAGGUCAGGGACUCCGAGCUCUCCCCAAACAUUCCCUGUCUCUUUCCCUCAUUCAUAGCCCUGGAGACACGAAUGUCUCUCAAACAGUCGGGAAAGGAAUAAUUGCUGUAGACUCAGUAGAAAAGGAAAAAAACUAGAAAACUAGAAGAAGUGAACAAAGGAAGGAGAUAGAGGUGAGAGAGAGGGAGUUUCUUCCAUGAGAACCAUAGCCAUGGCGGCUCGGUCACUUGGCGUCAGAAGGUAGCACAGCAGCCUGGGGCAGAGGAGCCACCAGCUCCUUUAUGGAACAUGGAAGGCUUUAUGACCUUAAAGGUUAGAGAGGGGCUGCCAAAGGGCACCCUGAAGGGAGAUUUAGGGCCAAGGAUGGAGGGAAGUCUGAGAUCAGCCUGGCACAAAUCUGCCUGGUCCCAGUGCUUCUUCAGUUGAGCUCUGGGCCUUGCGUCCAGUCACGCUUUGCAGGGAGGGUGUCUGACAUCUCUCAGAAGCCUGGCCAUAUCCAGAUAUCUGAGGCCUGACAAUAGGAUGCAGACUAGGCCUUGGAUUAGGGGUAAGGCUGUGGUCCCUGCUCCUCUGCUGACUCGCUGAAUGACCUUGAAAAAGUCAAGUUAUCUCUUGGUCUCAGAUUCCCCAAGUGCAAAAUAAAAGGGGGCCAAUAUUCAGAAUCAGAGAUGUAAAUGGAUGUGAAUGGGCUUUGUAUGGAAAAAGAAACUAAGCCUGUGGAGAGGGUUAUUACCACUUCUGAGGCUGAGGCAGGACAGAGAUGCUGUUAAGCUGUGGGUGCAGGAGCUGCCUAGGAGGGAGCUCAAUCCCUCCCUCCCCGCGGCCUCCCUCAGUCCUGAUUGACAGGACUGAUGCUGACGCCCAGGCCCAGUAGUAAUGGCGUUGAGGUCUGCAGUCCCCUUCCUCUGGUGCCCACCCCCAGAGGACAAGGAAGUGUGAAUUAUCUUAAAGAAGGCUCAUGGGUUUUUGUUUUGUUUUUGUUUUUUUUUGAGAUAGAGUUUUGCUCUGUCACC
RNAcentral lists this long non-coding RNA (1109 nucleotides) under Homo sapiens (human). Its description in RNAcentral is "HSALNT0305190". Lineage: Eukaryota; Metazoa; Chordata; Mammalia; Primates; Hominidae. The record is from RNAcentral.